AUGUUGCCGCUUGUCUCCUCUCCUAUCUCUCUUUGCUUCAUGUAUGGCUUGGAUCUCGCCAUCAGGCAUUCUCCCUUCCUCCCCGUGGACGCAACGACACCGCUGUUCAAGGAUGAGCUAGGUGCUGCAACUAGGCUGCAAACUGCUACAAGUGGAUGCUGCAGGCAGUGUUCGAUGUUGCAAGACAACCACCGGUGUACUUCUAUCUGCUGCAAAAGUGGACUGCUGUUGCGAGGGGCUAACAACCAACGGUGCUGUGAGGCCUUGAAACCUGAGAAGAUGAAGGUAGUUGUUGUAGCUUUUGAGGAUCUAACAAUCUUGGAGAAGAUUGAGGAUGAUGCUAGACUAAGAGCAUGUCUAACAGAGCCCUCAAAAACUCAACCUUCAAAACCAGUUUGA
Molecule: ribosomal RNA, 399 nt
Filed under: Triticum aestivum (bread wheat)
Lineage: Eukaryota; Viridiplantae; Streptophyta; Magnoliopsida; Poales; Poaceae
Description: partial small subunit ribosomal RNA
Source: RNAcentral